This 459-nucleotide ribosomal RNA is filed under the name uncultured bacterium. RNAcentral describes it as "partial 16S ribosomal RNA". It matches the Rfam family "Bacterial small subunit ribosomal RNA", at positions 338 to 795 of the family's 1533-position model. The record is from RNAcentral.
CCUACGGGUGGCAGCAGUGAGGAAUAUUGGUCAAUGGACGCAAGUCUGAACCAGCCAUGCCGCGUGCAGGAAGACGGCUCUAUGAGUUGUAAACUUCUUUUGUCAAGGGACAAAAUCAGGCUCGAGAGCCUGACCGAGGGUACUUGAAGAAAAAGCAUCGGCUAACUCCGUGCCAGCAGCCGCGGUAAUACGGAGGAUGCGAGCGUUAUCCGGAUUUAUUGGGUUUAAAGGGUGCGUAGGGGGACUGUUAAGUCAGCGGUAAAAGCCCGGGGCUCAACCCCGGCGAGCCGUUUAAACUGGCUGUCUUGAGUGGGCGAGAAGUAUGCAGAAUGCGUGGUGUAGCGGUGAAAUGCAUAGAUAUCACGCAGAACUCCGAUUGCGAAGGCAGCAUACCGGCGCCCGACUGACGCUGAGGCACGAAAGCGUGGGGAUCGAACAGGAUUAGAUACCCGUGUAGUC